This is a long non-coding RNA of Alosa alosa (allis shad), 350 nucleotides long. RefSeq lists it as uncharacterized. The transcript has 3 exons. The record is from RefSeq and is a predicted model, not a curated record. Lineage: Eukaryota; Metazoa; Chordata; Actinopteri; Clupeiformes; Clupeidae.
CAGGUACUGCAGUGGAGUGGGGCAGACAGAGCCGUCGGGGGCCUGUGAGGAGGGCUUCUACUGCAGACAGAGAGCCACCACAGCAACUCCUGUGGAUGGCCCUUGGGGUGGUCUGUGCCCAGCUGGCAGUUAUUGCCCCUCUGGGUCACCCCACCCGUCCCCAUGUCCCCCUGGCACCUUCAGCAACAGCACCGGCCUCAAGGACCCGCAGCAGUGUGUCAGCUGCCCCCCUGGGUAUUACUGUCUGGGCUCCAACAACUCUGCCCCCACCGGACACUGUUUUGCAGGGUUCUACUGCCCUGGUGGGGCAGAUUCCCCUGUGCAGAGGGAGGCUGAGGAGGGGCACUACU